Salmo salar (Atlantic salmon) is the source of this 54-nucleotide non-coding RNA. The record is from Rfam. NCBI's taxonomy places the organism in Eukaryota, Metazoa, Chordata, Actinopteri, Salmoniformes, Salmonidae.
AUGAUACCAAUUUGUAAGUCGCUCUGGAUAAGAGCGUCUGCUAAAUGACUUAAA